This 496-nucleotide ribosomal RNA is filed under the name uncultured bacterium. Its description in RNAcentral is "bacterial SSU rRNA". It matches the Rfam family "Bacterial small subunit ribosomal RNA", at positions 31 to 507 of the family's 1533-position model. The record is from RNAcentral.
UCCGUGGCUCGAGGAUAGAACGCUAGCGGGAGGCCUAAUACAUGCAAGUCGAACGGUAACAGGGUAGCAAUACCGCUGACGAGUGGCGCGACGGGUGCGUAACACGUACACAAUCUACCUUAUACUGGAGCAUAACCUACGGGAACUGAGGCUAAUUCUCAUAACAUAUUAAAAAGGCAUCUUUUUGAUAUUAAAACUCCGGUGGUAUAAGAUGAGUGUGCGUCUGAUUAGCUAGUUGGUGGAGUAACGGCUCACCAGGGCAACGAUCAGUAGCUGGUCUGAGAGGAUGAUCAGCCACACGGGCACUGAGACACGGGCCCGACUCCUACGGGAGGCAGCAGUAGGGAAUAUUGGACAAUGGGCGCAAGCCUGAUCCAGCCAUCCCGCGUGAAGGAUUAAGGCCCUCUGGGUUGUAAACUUCUUUUCUUUGGGAAUAAAAACUCCGUUUCUACGGAGCUUGAAGGUACCAGAGGAAUAAGCACCGGCUAACUCCGUG